AGUCACUGACAUUAGAUACCCGCGUAGUCCAGGGUGUAAACGCUGCAGACUUGGUGUUGGAAGCCCUUUGGGGGCAUUCAGUGCCGGAGAGAAGUUGUUAAGUCUGCUACUUGGGAGUACGUCCGCAAGGAUGAAACUUAAAGGAAUUGGCGGGGGAGCACCGCAACGGGAGGAGCGUGCGGUUUAAUUGGAUUCAACACCGUAAAACUCACCAGGGAAGACUGUUACAUGAAGGCCGAGAUGAAGACUCUGCUAGAUUUUCAG
RNAcentral lists this ribosomal RNA (264 nucleotides) under uncultured archaeon. RNAcentral describes it as "partial 16S ribosomal RNA". It matches the Rfam family "Archaeal small subunit ribosomal RNA", at positions 716 to 982 of the family's 1478-position model. The record is from RNAcentral.